RNAcentral lists this long non-coding RNA (1270 nucleotides) under Nicotiana tabacum (common tobacco). RNAcentral describes it as "long non-coding RNA (NTAB_LNC004294)". Lineage: Eukaryota; Viridiplantae; Streptophyta; Magnoliopsida; Solanales; Solanaceae. The record is from RNAcentral.
GAAAUACAAGCCUGAGCAGUUUAAAGGGUUUCUCCAUUUGAAUCCAAUCAACGGCAGUACUUUGCGACAGCAAUAAGGACGCACUGAAGCAACGGGAACAAUCAAGGUCACCAAACCGACCGUCAUUUCCGAGCUAACAAUUGUUCUUUGUCUAAAAAGUUGAAACAGGUAUAAUCCGAGACAACCGUGCAAGAAGCAGGUGUCGCCCAAAGAAGAAGGUACAUGGGUACAAGAAAUAUCUUGGCAAUAAGGAACUCACUCGAAAGGUAAGUUUCCACGAGACUCCCUUUUAUCUUCUACUGAAACAAGAAAAUCCAAAAAAAAAAGAGGUUAGCUAGCAUUCUCGAACUUUACCCCCAACCAGUCAGCAUUAGGGUUACAAACCCUAAACUGAGCGUUUCCAUGCAAUCAGCAUUAGGGUUUUAAACCCUAAACUGAAUUCUUUCCUUUAGUUAGCAUUAGGGUUUUAAACCCUAAACUGAACGUUUUCCUUUCAGUCAGCAUUAAGGUUUUAAACCCUAAACUGAACUUUUCCUUUUAAUCAGCAUUAGGGUUUUAAACUCUAAACUGAAUUUUUCCUUUAGUCAGCAUUAGGGUUUUAAACCCUAAACUGAAUUUUUCCUUUAGUCAGCAUUAGUGUUUUAAACCCUAAACUGAAUUUUCCCUUUAAUCAGCAUUAGGGUUUUAAACCCUAAAUUGAACUUUUCCUUUAGUCAGCAUAUGGGUUUUAAACCCUAAACUGAACUUUUUUCCUUUCAGCCAGCAUUAGGGUUUUAAACCCUAAACUGAGCUUUUCCGUGCAGUCAGCAUUAGGGUUUUAAACCCUAAACUGAAUUUUUUCCUUUAGCCAGCAUUAGGGUUUUAAACCCUAAACUGAGUUUUCCCUUGCAAUCAGCAUUAGGGUUUUAAACCCUAAACUGAACUUUUUUCCAUUUAGCCAGCAUUAGGGUUUUAAACCCUAAACUGAGAUUUUCCAUGCAAUCAGCAUUAGGGUUUUAAACCCUAAACUGAACUUUUCCUUGCAAUCAGCAUUAGGGUUUUAAACCCUAAACUAAACUUUUCCUUUAGUCAGCAUUGGGGUUUUAAACCCUAAACUGAACUUUUCCUUUAGUCAGCAUUAGGGUUUUAAACCCUAAACUGAACUUUUCCUUGCAAUCAGCAUUAGGGUUUUAAACCCUAAACUGAACUUUUUCCUUUAGUCAGCAUUAGGGUUUUAAACCCUAAACUGAACUUUUCUUUUCAGUCAGCAUUAGGGUUAUAACCCCUAAAC